GAGGGAGGUGGAAUUCCGCGUGUAGCAGUGAAUGCGCAGAUAUGCGGAGUGAACACUGAUGGCGUAGCGCAGCCUCCUGGGAUAACACUGACGCUCAUGCACGAAAGCGUGGGGAGCAAACAGGAUUGAUACUCCUGGUAGUCCACGCCCUAAACGAUGUCAACUAGCCGUUGGGGCCUUCGGGCCUUGCAGCGGAAGGCUAACGGGGGCAAGAAGUUGACCGCGUCAGAGCAUGGUCAAAAGAUUGUGGAAACUCAAAGGAAUUGACGGGGACCCGCACAAGCGCAGAUGCGAUGAUUGAAUUCGAUGCAACGCGAAAAAACUCUUACCUACCCUUGUGAUGUCUGAAUCCCGAAGAGAUUUGGAGUGCUCGCAAGAGAACCGGAACACAGGUGCUGCAUGGCUGUCGUCAGCUCGUGUCGUGAGAUGUUGGGUUAAGUCCUGCAACGAGCGCAAACUGUCAUUAGUUACGCCGAAAGUGCACCGACGAGAUCACGGUGACAAACCGGAGGAAGGUGGGAUGACGUCAAGUCCUCAUGGCCUCGUGGCAGGGCUUCACACGUCAUACAAUGGUCGGGACAGAGGGUCGCCAACCCGCGAGGGGAGCCAAUCCCAGAAACCCGAUCGUAGUCCGGAUCGCAGUCUGCACCUGGACUGGUGAAGUCGAACCGCCAGUAAUCGCGGAUCAGCAUGUCGCGGUGAAUACGUUCCCGGGGUCUUGUACACACCGCCUGUCACACCAUGGGAGUGGGUUUUACCAGAAGUAGUUAGCCUAACCGUAAGGAGGGCGAUUACCACGGUAGGAUUCAUGACUGGGGUGAAGUCGUAACAAGGUAG
Molecule: unclassified non-coding RNA, 837 nt
Filed under: uncultured Bordetella sp.
Lineage: Bacteria; Pseudomonadati; Pseudomonadota; Betaproteobacteria; Burkholderiales; Alcaligenaceae
Description: partial 16S-23S ribosomal RNA intergenic spacer
Rfam family: Bacterial small subunit ribosomal RNA
Source: RNAcentral